Molecule: transfer RNA, 83 nt
Filed under: Minisyncoccota bacterium
Lineage: Bacteria; Bacillati; Minisyncoccota
Description: tRNA-Ser
Rfam family: tRNA
About the family: Transfer RNA (tRNA) molecules are approximately 80 nucleotides in length. Their secondary structure includes four short double-helical elements and three loops (D, anti-codon, and T loops).
Source: RNAcentral
GGAGAGGUCGCAUAGUGGUCCAUUGCACCGGUUUCGAAAACCGGCGCCGCAAGGCUUCGUGGGUUCGAAUCCCACCCUCUCCG